UACAGAGGGGGCAAGCGUUGUUCGGAAUUACUGGGCGUAAAGGGCGCGUAGGCGGCCUUCUAAGUCGAACGUGAAAUCCCCGGGCUCAACCCGGGAACUGCGUCCGAUACUGGAAGGCUUGAAUCCGGGAGAGGGAUGCGGAAUUCCGGGUGUAGCGGUGGAAUGCGUAGAGAUCCGGAAGAACACCGGAGGCGAAGGCGGCUUGCUGGGCUCGGUCUGACGCUGAGGCGCGAAAGCGUGGGGAGCGAACAGG
Molecule: ribosomal RNA, 253 nt
Filed under: uncultured bacterium
Lineage: Bacteria
Description: partial 16S ribosomal RNA
Rfam family: Bacterial small subunit ribosomal RNA
Source: RNAcentral